RNAcentral lists this ribosomal RNA (112 nucleotides) under Petromyzon marinus (sea lamprey). The record is from RNAcentral. Lineage: Eukaryota; Metazoa; Chordata; Hyperoartia; Petromyzontiformes; Petromyzontidae.
UGCAGCAAAAAACACCAUCACUGUGCCCGAUCCCAUCAAAUCUCUGACGCUAAGCUGAGUUGAACCUGGUUAGUGUGGAUCGGAGACUUCCUGGUAACACCAGAUGCUGUCG